CAUCUCUUCCUUCCGUUUCAAAUUACUUGUCUUAGAUUUGUCUAGAUACGGAGGUAUCUAGCACUAAAAUGAGUCUAGAUACAUUCGUAUCUAGACAAAUCCAAGACAAGUAAUUCGGAACGGAGGUAGUAGGAU
Non-coding RNA from Triticum aestivum (bread wheat), 135 nucleotides. Lineage: Eukaryota; Viridiplantae; Streptophyta; Magnoliopsida; Poales; Poaceae. The record is from Rfam.